UUAAGGAAUUAGGCAAAUUUCUUUUCGCCUGUUUAAUAAAAACAUGGCUUUUUGGUAAUAAUUUAAGGUCAGGCCUGCCCAAUGAUAAUUUAAAUGGCUGCGGUAUAUUGACCGUGCAAAGGUAGCAUAAUCAUUAGUUUUUUUAUUGGAAGCUGGAAUGAAGGGCUUGACGAGAAAGAAGCUGUCUUAAUUUAAUUAUUUGAAUUUUAUUUUUGAGUGAGAAAGCUUAAAUAGUUUUGAGGGACGAGAAGACCCUAUAGAAUUUAAUAGUUUAUAUAUUUUAAAAUUUUGGUUUAUGUUAAUUGAUGUAAAUUUAAAUUAAUUUGUUGGGGUGAUAAAAAAAUUUAAAUAACUUUUCUUUGUAUUUUUCAUUAAUAAAUGAUUAUAUGAUCCAUUAGUAGUGAUUAUAAGAAAAAAUUACCUUAGGGAUAACAGCGUUAUUAAUCUGGAGAGUUCAAAUCGAUAGAUUAGAUUGCGACCUCGAUGUUGGAUUAAAAUUGGCUUUUGGUGAAGGGACUAAUAAGCUAAGUCUGUUCGACUUUUAAAAUUUUACAUGAUCUGAGUUUAAACCGGCGUGAGCCAGGUUGGUUUCUAUCUUU
This 599-nucleotide ribosomal RNA is filed under the name Lucanus ogakii ogakii. Its description in RNAcentral is "partial 16S ribosomal RNA". It matches the Rfam family "Archaeal large subunit ribosomal RNA", at positions 1802 to 2714 of the family's 2987-position model. The record is from RNAcentral. Lineage: Eukaryota; Metazoa; Arthropoda; Insecta; Coleoptera; Lucanidae.